UCCUACGGGGGGCAGCAGUGAGGAAUAUUGGUCAAUGGUCGGGAGACUGAACCAGCCAAGCCGCGUGAGGGAUGAAGGUACAGAGUAUCGUAAACCUCUUUUGUCAGGGAACAAAGGCGGGGACGUGUCCCCGGAUGAGUGUACCUGAAGAAAAAGCAUCGGCUAACUCCGUGCCAGCAGCCGCGGUAAUACGGAGGAUGCGAGCGUUAUCCGGAUUUAUUGGGUUUAAAGGGUGCGCAGGCGGUCUGUUAAGUCAGCGGUCAAAGCCCGGGGCUCAACCCCGGCCUGCCGUUGAAACGGGCAGU
RNAcentral lists this ribosomal RNA (305 nucleotides) under uncultured bacterium. Its description in RNAcentral is "bacterial SSU rRNA". It matches the Rfam family "Bacterial small subunit ribosomal RNA", at positions 337 to 640 of the family's 1533-position model. The record is from RNAcentral.